RNAcentral lists this ribosomal RNA (245 nucleotides) under uncultured Sphingomonadaceae bacterium. RNAcentral's name for it is "partial 16S ribosomal RNA". It matches the Rfam family "Bacterial small subunit ribosomal RNA", at positions 524 to 768 of the family's 1533-position model. The record is from RNAcentral. Lineage: Bacteria; Pseudomonadati; Pseudomonadota; Alphaproteobacteria; Sphingomonadales; Sphingomonadaceae.
UACGGAGGGGGCUAGCGUUGUUCGGCAUUACUGGGCGUAAAGCGCGCGUAGGCGGUUUUUCAAGUCAGAGGUGAAAGCCCGGAGCUCAACUCCGGAAUAGCCUUUGAAACUGGAUAACUUGAGUCUUGGAGAGGCGAGUGGAAUUCCGAGUGUAGAGGUGAAAUUCGUAGAUAUUCGGAAGAACACCAGUGGCGAAGGCGACUCGCUGGACAAGUACUGACGCUGAGGUGCGAAAGCGUGGGGAG